UUGAUUUCAAUGGGUGACCAGAAGGAAGCUUGAUUACACAGUAGUAUUUCAGGGCCUGUCUCCCCUGCCCCACUUUAAAUAAACAACAUUUUGGAUGGAGAAUUAAGACUGACAAGUGAAUUUUGACUAGGGAUGUGAAUGAGAAGAGAGUGAAUUUCUCCACAUCAGAAUGGAAAAGGCAGAAGGGGCAGUGUGGAUAAAAGCACAGAGACAUGAGUGGGAGAAGAAGGGGUGAAGGGUGAACAAAAAAAAAGAAGUAGAAAGAGGAGAGAAACUGAAACAUACUGUGACGCUGACAGAGACGGCUGUUGCUGCAAUACAGAAGAAUUUUGGAGCACAGCAACUAUAGGUAAUGUUGAAAAACAACCAUGAUAAGGGCAAGACUCUCUGGCCAGAUUACAUUUCCCAUGAGGAACUGCAUUCAUAGGACUCCCAGGAUGAACUUUGGCAGCUCAACAAGAAGAGUGAGUAAUGGAAAAUAUAGUCCUGCGGGGAAAUCCAUCCC
Gopherus flavomarginatus (Mexican gopher tortoise) is the source of this 505-nucleotide long non-coding RNA. RefSeq lists it as uncharacterized. The transcript has 3 exons. The record is from RefSeq and is a predicted model, not a curated record. Lineage: Eukaryota; Metazoa; Chordata; Testudines; Testudinidae.